Molecule: small nuclear RNA, 164 nt
Organism: Pteronotus mesoamericanus
Lineage: Eukaryota; Metazoa; Chordata; Mammalia; Chiroptera; Mormoopidae
Product: U1 spliceosomal RNA
Exons: 1
Source: RefSeq, a predicted model, not a curated record
AUACUUACCUGGCAGGGGAGGUCCCAUGAUCGUGAAGAUGGUUUUCCCAGGGCGAGGCUCACCCAUUGCUCUCUGGGUGUGCCGACCUCUGCGAUAUCCCCAAGUGUGGGAAACUCGCCUGCGUAAUUUGUGGUGGUGGGCGACUGUGUUCGCGCUCUCCCCUG